Long non-coding RNA from Magnolia sinica, 802 nucleotides. RefSeq lists it as uncharacterized. Lineage: Eukaryota; Viridiplantae; Streptophyta; Magnoliopsida; Magnoliales; Magnoliaceae. The record is from RefSeq and is a predicted model, not a curated record. The transcript has 4 exons.
AGCACAAAAACACAAAAAAUAUUUCUUUUUUCAUGAGCGGUGGUCAACCUUGAUGUGGUUCAGUAAUGCAGGUUACUCUUGAUGGCUUGCUUUGUUGUACAGUUUCAAACGACUGUACUGUGAAGAUAUAUGAAGUUGUCAACUAUGAUAUGAUGUUCAUGAUGCGUCUACCAUUUGUUCCUGGCACAAUUGAAUGGGCUUACAAGCCUGGAGAUGUCAAAGCUAAUUAAGCUUGCUAUUAGUGACCGGAACUCGCCCUAUGUUCACAUAUAAGAUGCAUGUGCUGGUUCGAAUGAACCUAUUAUUUCAAAAGAGUUAGAAAAGCGGGAAGCUAUGAGGAGACUGCAGGAUUUGUGGAAUGGGAAUAUGGAUAUCUGCAAGCAGAUGAAUAGAAGCCCAAGGCCAGGUUGUGGCUGGUAAAGGUCAUGAAACUUAUCAACUAGAAGGCUCUAAGGAGUUCUUCGAUGAUAGGGAAGCGUGCCGAGAAGCGUUGCAAUAUGUUGAUGAGCUUCAUCAAGCUGGGAUAGACAAGCAAAUUUCCAUGGCAGUUUGAGGAGCAAGAGGCUCCUAGUUCAAGGUCAUUCUUUACAGAGAUUAUUGACUCAGUAUCGGAUAUUAAGUUUUCGAAAGAUGGACCAUUGUAAAUUUAUUAUUGUAAAUAUAUAUAAUUUUUAUUAUAAAGUUGUACUAUAUAUUGUUAAUAUUAAUUUUUAAUUGUACUUUAUUUUCUUUGGGUUUUAAAUAUAAAAACAAAUGCACAACUUUUAUUGGCCAUUUCUAAAUAAUGAAAAAUACCGUUCCU